RNAcentral lists this ribosomal RNA (465 nucleotides) under uncultured bacterium. RNAcentral describes it as "partial 16S ribosomal RNA". It matches the Rfam family "Bacterial small subunit ribosomal RNA", at positions 338 to 795 of the family's 1533-position model. The record is from RNAcentral.
CCUACGGGAGGCUGCAGUGGGGAAUAUUGCGCAAUGGGCGAAAGCCUGACGCAGCGACGCCGCGUGAGGGAUGAAGGUCUUCGGAUCGUAAACCUCUGUCAGCAGGGAAGAACGGUCACUGUGCUAAUCAGCAGUGAAUUGACGGUACCUGCAAAGGAAGCACCGGCUAACUCCGUGCCAGCAGCCGCGGUAAUACGGAGGGUGCGAGCGGUAAUCGGAAUUACUGGGCGUAAAGCGCUCGUAGGCGGUAUGUCAAGUCAAGGGUGAAAUCCCCGCGCUCAACGUGGGAACUGCCUUUGAAACUGGCAGACUGGAGAGUGUGAGAGGUAAGUGGAAUGCGCGGUGUAGCGGUGAAAUGCGUAGAUAUCUGGAAGAACAUCGGUGGCGAAGGCGGCUAUCUGGCACAUAACUGACGCUGAGGAGCGAAAGCGUGGGUAGCGAACAGGAUUAGAUACCCCUGUAGUC